This 253-nucleotide ribosomal RNA is filed under the name uncultured bacterium. Its description in RNAcentral is "partial 16S ribosomal RNA". It matches the Rfam family "Bacterial small subunit ribosomal RNA", at positions 524 to 776 of the family's 1533-position model. The record is from RNAcentral.
UACGGUGGGGGCAAGCGUUGUUCGGAAUUACUGGGCGUAAAGGGCUUGUAGGUGGCCAACUAAGUCAGACGUGAAAUCCCUCGGCUUAACCGGGGAACUGCGUCUGAUACUGGAUGGCUUGAGUGUGGGAGAGGGAUGCGGAAUUCCAGGUGUAGCGGUGAAAUGCGUAGAUAUCUGGAGGAACACCGGUGGCGAAGGCGGCAUCCUGGACCAUUACUGACACUGAAAAGCGAAAGCCAGGGGAGCAAACGGG